This 45-nucleotide ribosomal RNA is filed under the name Tricholoma magnivelare. RNAcentral describes it as "partial 28S ribosomal RNA". The record is from RNAcentral. Lineage: Eukaryota; Fungi; Basidiomycota; Agaricomycetes; Agaricales; Tricholomataceae.
AAUCUCUGACAUUUUGACAUCAAGUCAGGUAGGACUACCCGCUGA